AUAUAAUACUGUAAACAUUAAAUAAAAUUAAAUACAAGAAAAAAGCUUAAUUCCAACAGCCAUCUAUGUUGUUAAUUUGUAGGAAUUUUCAAUAGAACAUAUAUUUGUUGGAAUAUGAUUGUUGGAAAUCUGUAUUUGUCACGAAUUUAUUAGAAACGUUUCCAUCGAGUAAUUCUAUGACCAAUUUGUUGGAUAGUGUAAUACCCCUGACUAUGAUUAGUAAUCUGUGGGACGGUCGCGAUCGUAGAAGUGCGACAAAUAAAUCGUAAACGUUUUGUUGACUUUUGAAAUAAAUGACAAAGUUUUUGUUGACUUGUCAUUUGAGUCAUGUCGUUAAGUAGGUUAACAUAAAAAAUUUAAGACGUUAAUGUCUCGUUUAUCUCCUCCGUAAAAACAAAACAACGUUGUUUAUUGAAGCUCGUUUUGUCUGUUGAAACAAAUUUAAACCCUAAAUCCUCAAAUCGAUUUCAUUAUUUAUGAUUUUGAGGCCAAGGUGGGUCUGUGAUUUUGAGAUAAUGAUAUCGAUUUGGAGAUUUAAGGUUUAUAUUUGUUUCAAGAGACAAAACGACGUCGUUUUGUCUCUUCAAUAAACAACGUUGUUUUGUUCUAACAGAUCAAAUAAACAAGACAUUAACACCGUAAAAAAAUUCUGUUAACCUAUUUAACGAUAUGACUCAAAUGGCAAGUCAACAAAAACUUUGUCAUUUGUUUCGAAAGUCAACAAAAACUUUACGAUUUAUUUGUCUUCCGUGAAAUUCAAGAUUAAAUCGUCCCAAAUUUGAAACUUAGUGAUUUUUUUGACAUUUCUCCCAAUAAUCAUCAAACAAAGAAAGGUUAUAGAAGGAGUUCAAGAUCAGUUUAGUAGUGAGUUGAGAUUUUAUCGGCUAUUGCUACAUAUGAAGAAGACUAGGAUCGGCUAUUAUCGGCAAAGGCAGUUAAAGCUAUCGAGGAAUUUAUUAGGACUAUCAAGAUUAUUAUCAAAAGAAUUCUUAUGGGCAAUUUGGUUGAUGGAAAGAUCA
Molecule: small RNA, 1019 nt
Filed under: Arabidopsis thaliana (thale cress)
Lineage: Eukaryota; Viridiplantae; Streptophyta; Magnoliopsida; Brassicales; Brassicaceae
Description: ATSL208350
Source: RNAcentral